This 253-nucleotide ribosomal RNA is filed under the name uncultured bacterium. Its description in RNAcentral is "partial 16S ribosomal RNA". It matches the Rfam family "Bacterial small subunit ribosomal RNA", at positions 524 to 776 of the family's 1533-position model. The record is from RNAcentral.
UACGAAGGGGGCUAGCGUUGCUCGGAAUUACUGGGCGUAAAGGGCGCGUAGGCGGAUAUCUAAGUUGGGGGUGAAAUCCCGGGGCUCAACCUCGGAAUUGCCUUCAAAACUGGAUAUCUUGAGUUCGGGAGAGGUGAGUGGAACUCCGAGUGUAGAGGUGAAAUUCGUAGAUAUUCGGAAGAACACCAGUGGCGAAGGCGACUCACUGGCCCGAUACUGACGCUGAGGCACGAAGGCCAGGGGAGCAAACGGG